CACUUUCCCUCCCCACAAGCCCUAGUUUGUUCUCCCAAAUUUCACUUGCCCUCCCACGCCCUGAAAUCCGUCAUCCAUUUCGAUUGCUUCGCCUGGAACGAUGAAGAGAGGAACGAUGAACAAGACCUUGUCGCCGUCAACCCAGAUCGAAGAGAGGAAUGAUGAAGAGACCUCAUGGCCUUCAACCUAGAUCAGAGAGAGGAACGAUGAAGAGACCUCAUCGCCUGGAACGAUGAAGAGAGGCUUGAUUCCACACCAUUGAACCCAGAUCGAAGUCAUUCACCGUCCAAGCUCCACCACCGCGAAUCUUCUUGCUGUAAUCAACGGUACCCGACCUUGCUUCGAUCUUUUGUUUCCCCUUUUGGGUUUCCUGUUGUUGGGUGUAUCCAAAUUUAGGUUUUCCUAGUGAAGAAGAGGUAAAAAGUUGGUGAUUUGGGUGAAAGAAAAUUUUAGGUUUUCCAAUUUGGAUUUUGGGUCCCUCUCCUCUUUCUAUUUUGUUCAGGUAUGAAAUUGAUUGGCAACCAGGAUUUGCAGUGUUAUUUGCUUUUGCUCUGUCUAUUUUCUCUUGAUUUGUCAAUAAAUAAAUUCAGGUGGUAGAUGGUGGAGGUGUGGUUGAAUCAGCAUUAUCAGUUUAUUGGGAGUACCUUGCUGCAACUUUAGGAUCUCGGGAGCAGUUGGUUAUAGCAGAGUUUGAUAAUCAUUCCAAAGGUAAGCGUCAAACCAAUUUAACUGUUUAGGUUUAAUUUUUAGAUCUUAUGCUUUUUUUACAUAUAACUACUAUCUAGGGUGGUAUGGCCUAGUUGAACAAUUGAUAUUAAGGGGAGAGAGGAUUUAUUCAGGCAUAAUUUGAAUUUGUGUGAACGGAGCAAGUGCUUUGCAGUAAAAGAAAAAGAAUGGGAAACUCUUAGAGUUGUAGACCAGGCCUCGCAAUACAGGUUGUCCUUUUUGUUUUUCUAUACUCACCUAGUUACUUUUAUCCUUGAAAUUUAAUUAACAUUAAGAAGCCAUAAGUUUGACACUUCUUUUUCUGGCAGCAUUUCUACUUUUGACUGACUUCUUGUUAUUCUAUGGUAUUGGGGGGAGAGGGAGAGAGCGGGGAAGAUGAGAUUGAGUGAUCUGAGCAAUUACUUUCAUCUGCCUAUUGAAGAUGCAGCAAAAACAAGUGAACUUAUGCCCUCACAGUGAUGAAGAAAAUUUGCUGUAAAGCAGGACUAGCAUGAUGGCCUCAGAGAAAGGUUCUGGUGUCAGGUUUAGGACUCUUGUCAGAGGAAUCACCAAAUGCAGCUCCAUAACUGUCACCCUGAAAUUGCAAAAACACAAAAUGUUGUAAAUCAAGAAGCUUCAGCAGAACAGUUUGUCUUAGUGCACUGAAAGUUCAUUCACCUGAGAAGAAAUAAACCCGGGAGUGGGGCAAUUAUUCAUUGCUGGCUUGAACCUCACUAUCUUUGGUCUAAUGGCAGAAACUGUAGUAGCUUGAGAAGAUGCAGUAGGGGGAGAGUCAUUGAUUGCUCCUGCUAGGAGCUCUAAGAAAGAUUUGAAACUAGAACAGGUUCACUUGAAGCAUUUGGGUGGUAAUAUUGACGAGGUUCUUUAUUUCUUCCUACCAGUACCAGCAAAUGACUUGGUUGAUUUUAUUGCCCCAUCUUGCUACAGGUAAUUUUAGCCACCAAAUCCCCUGAUUGUUAUUGGAGCAUCAGUCUCAUUCUUAAUAAGAAAUGUCUUAAAUUGGAGAAAAUUGGAGAAAACUAGCUCUAGCAAGUAAGGUAUGUUAUAGCUUAUAAAAUUAGCUUUUCAUUGUUGAUUAAGGUGUGGUCAUAUAUGGAGGAAAGGUCUAACUAUUGCUUUCCUUAAACUUUGUAGAGCCUCCUUGCAUUUCCUUGCUGAUUGUUUUGUUUAAAGAACAUAUGUAAGAAGAUGAACAUGUUUAAAAUGUUCCCAAAUCAAUUGGGAAUGCUUGAUAAUCUAAUUUGUCUUAACUUUUUUAAUAGGAUUUGUUCCACACCAGACAUGUGCACUCUGUUGAAGUAAUUGAUGCUGGAUUUCUUGGCCGUCUUUUCAAGGCUGUUUUGAAGCACUGCCUAAGCUACAAAUCCUGGAUAUGAGUGGUAAUGCUGCUUUGAAACUUUGCACUCUUCACUGAUUGUUAUAAACUCUCUUUAUAUCUCUGCUUAUAUGUUUUUAAUUAUUAGGUAGAUAUGACAAAACUUGCUUUCCUUCAAACUAAUUUUGGUGCUUCCUUAGAUGUUUUACUAUAUACACUAGUUCUAAGAUGCUUGAGAUGUAACAUGUAAAUUCAUUUAGUUACUGGAGGUGAUCAAUAGAGCUG
Lotus japonicus is the source of this 2326-nucleotide long non-coding RNA. RefSeq lists it as uncharacterized. The transcript is spliced from 4 exons. The record is from RefSeq and is a predicted model, not a curated record. NCBI's taxonomy places the organism in Eukaryota, Viridiplantae, Streptophyta, Magnoliopsida, Fabales, Fabaceae.